Molecule: long non-coding RNA, 1763 nt
Organism: Apis dorsata (giant honeybee)
Lineage: Eukaryota; Metazoa; Arthropoda; Insecta; Hymenoptera; Apidae
Exons: 2
Source: RefSeq, a predicted model, not a curated record
UUGAUAUCGUUUGAAAAAUUAGUGUCAAGAAUGUUAAGGUUAAAAAGAAUGGAAUUAGUACCUGUUGCUUGCUAACGCAAUUUUCUCGAACAUCAUCGUUUUUCUGGUUCUAUAAUAUAAUUUCAUUGCCAUAUAAAUAAAACAAAAUGAAAAAAAAGAAACGAUAAGAAAGUAACAGACUGUAAUAUCAUAUAAAGUAUUACCACUGAAAGUUAAUAAAAUUAAUAAGAUAGACGUGUUCAUUUUGCAACAACAAACGAUAUCUUCUUAAAAAGAAAAAGAAAAAAAUCUCGUUCAAACCGCAAGAUAUACUCGAUGAUAUAAACGAAACAGUGUUAAAACAGUGGAACGAUUCUUCCAUUCCUGGGUGUAAUCUUCUCUAAAGCGUAGUGUUCCUUAACCUCCGCUGAAUAUCAAGUUUCAAAACCAUCCCCGGCUCACGGAAUCCUGGAAUUCUUAAAAACUGGAAACUUCUUUGCGCCAAGAUAGUUGAAAUCACCGGCCACGUUGCUCCAACGUUGUAAUUAAACAGCAUGCGAUUUUCUUUGCUUCGUUCGGUCGAAAGGGGAUAGUGAAAUAAGAAGAAGGAUGCAGAGACAAAGGGAUGCAGAGAAGAAGGGUGAAGAAGGAGUACGAAUGCGAUGCUCUACUGGGGUGAGGGUGCAAAGAUAUUUACGACUUCGAAAGAGGGAAAGGGAUGCUUUGGAAAGGAAGGAUGGAGAGAGGGGUUUGGAUGCCGGAUCUUUCCAUCCUCACGAGACCAUUUCGUGAGGGAUUCAUUAAGAUAGAACGAAGGUGUUAAUAUAAUGAACAUUGUCGGCAGAACUCGGUGUGUGUGUACCACUUUGCUCCUCAUAAGGUAGGGAUCUCAGCCAUGCUCUCUUUAUUUCAUACGACCUGAGGAAUAGAAGGGACGAGAAACGAAUAUAAGGAGAGGAUUACCGAAUGAAGAGACGAGAUAUUAUAUUUUAUAGUAAGGGAAAAGGUAUGGAGUUAAAAUAUUGAAUUUAUUUAUAGUUUUUAGUUGGAGUUUAUUAUUUUAGAGUUUUUAUAAUUCUUCGUUUGAGAUAUGACGAUUUGUUUGAAGAUGAAAUUUCAUAUUUAUUUUAUUUCUAUGUUUUCUCAUGCGUAGGAUAUAUUUUUAUUAUAUUUUAUUUUAUUUUUUUUAAAGCAUAAAGUUGUCUCCAAGAUAUGUACAAGAUAUAUCAAAAGAGGAUACAUUUAUUCUUUAUAUAUAUAUUUGUGAGCAGUAUACUUUAUUUAUACAUGCUCUCUUUUUAUCCAUUUAAAAUUGGUAUUUCUCUAUGAUAUUUUAUUACAUCUUUCUCGUUGAUACGAUAGAAAGCUGGACUUCGUUUAUUGCACAUAUAGUAAGCAGGUCAACGAGAACUUAUCAAACAAUAGAAUAUAAAACAAACUCUUAUACCAUAAUAUCCCUUUUUUUAUAUCUUCUUUUAUUAGAUUUUACACACAUUGAAAAUAUAGAUGAAACUAUAUGACGAAACGUACGUAACAAAUAUAGUUAUACGUAAAUAAAUAAAUGAAUAAAUAAAAUCGUUUUAAUUCUAUACAAAUUUUAAUUCCACACAAUAUCGAAUAUAAUAAAGACGUUGAAAGAUAAUUUCUCAUUGGUCUAAGUUUCAUUAAUUUGUAACAAAGAUGACAGAAAGUUUGAGAACGUUCUUAAUCCAAUUUUAUUAAAAAAAAAAAAAAAUUUUUAAUCAUACGUGGUACAUGUAGUCAGGGAUGGAAGGAACACGGAU